CAGGCCCAGAGAUUCAUCACUUAGCUUGCGGCUGGUGUGGUCAGUACGGUCUUCCGAGCUCCAUACUAUGCAUAUGUCGUCGGCUUAUCUUGCAUGUGGGCGGGGGUCUGGGGUGAAGGGAUCUGGAGUCGUUGUCUCUUUGUGUCGCACAGCGAGCUCCGCCAUGGGCCCUGCUGUGGGGCCGCCGAUGGGCGCGCCCUUCCUUUGCGGAGGGCAUUUCCCUUGAAACAUGAAAUACGAGUUGUGGGUGAUAAGGUGGCAUAUGUCGCGGAGAGGCGUAGUGCAUUGGUCGGGGUUCGGAG
This 302-nucleotide long non-coding RNA is filed under the name Androctonus crassicauda. The record is from RNAcentral. Lineage: Eukaryota; Metazoa; Arthropoda; Arachnida; Scorpiones; Buthidae.